RNAcentral lists this ribosomal RNA (332 nucleotides) under uncultured bacterium. RNAcentral describes it as "bacterial SSU rRNA". It matches the Rfam family "Bacterial small subunit ribosomal RNA", at positions 568 to 898 of the family's 1533-position model. The record is from RNAcentral.
CGUGUAGGCGGCAAGGCAUGUCGGGUGUGAAAGCCCUCGGCUUAACCGAGGAAGUGCGCCCGAAACUACUUUGCUUGAGUACCAGAGAGGACGGCGGAACUCCCGGUGUAGAGGUGAAAUUCGUAGAUAUCGGGAAGAACACCAGUGGCGAAGGCGGCCGUCUGGAUGGAUACUGACGCUGAGACGCGAAAGCGUGGGGAGCAAACAGGAUUAGAUACCCUGGUAGUCCACGCCGUAAACGAUGGGCACUAGGUGUCGUGGGUGUUGACCCCCGCGGUGCCGUAGCUAACGCAUUAAGUGCCCCGCCUGGGAAGUACGGCCGCAAGGCUAAA